Molecule: ribosomal RNA, 482 nt
Filed under: uncultured Glomus
Lineage: Eukaryota; Fungi; Glomeromycota; Glomeromycetes; Glomerales; Glomeraceae
Description: SSU rRNA
Rfam family: Eukaryotic small subunit ribosomal RNA
Source: RNAcentral
UGGAGGGCAAGUCUGGUGCCAGCAGCCGCGGUAAUUCCAGCUCCAAUAGCGUAUAUUAAAGUUGUUGCAGUUAAAAAGCUCGUAGUUGAAUUUCGGGGUUAGUAGGUUGGUCAUGCCUCUGGUAUGUACUGGUCUCACUGAUUCCUCCUUCCUGAUGAACCGUAAUGCCAUUAAUUUGGUGUUGCGGGGAAUUUGGACUGUUACUUUGAAAAAAUUAGAGUGUUUAAAGCAAGCUAACGCUUGAAUACAUUAGCAUGGAAUAAUGAAAUAGGACGUUCGAUCCUAUUUUGUUGGUUUCUAGGAUUGACGUAAUGAUUAAUAGGGAUAGUUGGGGGCAUUAGUAUUCAAUUGUCAGAGGUGAAAUUCUUGGAUUUAUUGAAGACUAACUACUGCGAAAGCAUUUGCCAAGGAUGUUUUCAUUAAUCAAGAACGAAAGUUAGGGGAUCGAAGACGAUCAGAUACCGUCGUAGUCUAACCAUAAA